AGAAAGUGGUCUGUAUCGAAGUUAAGUGCAGCCGUUUGCGCUGCUCUGACCUAAUCUGCGUUGAUCGAGGACUUUCAACGCUCCAGCGAGUUCCUGCCGGUCCCUGCCUGCCGGUUUCCUUCCCUGGCCUGCCCUGCUGUCCAGUAUUCGCCUGCAUAGAAGGACUGACUGGUUGAUCUGGAACAGUCGCGGGCCCAACCUUACACCAUGGAACCAUGCCAAAGUAAUGGUGUGGCUGUGCCUUUAAGAGUUGGCCUGCCUGUCUCCCACAGCAGCACAAGAGGCUCCUGGCAUGAGGAGGGUGAGUCAUAAACCAAAUGAGCUCCACAUCAUCACCAGCAGACAGAGCGGGGCUUCCUCCACCACAACGACGCCCUGACACAGCACAGCGGCUUGAAACAGCACACUCUGCACCAAAACACCCAAACGACCUCUAAAAGCAUUACAGCACCUCUGGCCCUGCGGGACACUGUCACUACAUUGUCAGCGGCUUGCCUGCCCUGAGUGAUACAGAUUCAUCUCAAAUAAAGGUUCAAGAUUAGGGGAUGGGGGUGUGCAGAUAUUUUAGAGCUUUUCACUAAUGUAUUAUUAAGGUUUGCAAAGGGACAUGCAUACAGUAGCCUACAUAGACACACAUAC
Oncorhynchus keta (chum salmon) is the source of this 639-nucleotide long non-coding RNA. RefSeq lists it as uncharacterized. The transcript is spliced from 3 exons. Lineage: Eukaryota; Metazoa; Chordata; Actinopteri; Salmoniformes; Salmonidae. The record is from RefSeq and is a predicted model, not a curated record.